CCUACGGGAGGCAGCAGUGGGGAAUAUUGGUCAAUGGACGAGAGUCUGAACCAGCCAAGUAGCGUGAAGGAUGACUGCCCUAUGGGUUGUAAACUUCUUUUAUAUGGGAAUAAAAUGUUCCACGUGUGGGAUUUUGUAUGUACCAUAUGAAUAAGGAUCGGCUAACUCCGUGCCAGCAGCCGCGGUAAUACGGAGGAUCCGAGCGUUAUCCGGAUUUAUUGGGUUUAAAGGGAGCGUAGGUGGAUUGUUAAGUCAGUUGUGAAAGUUUGCGGCUCAACCGUAAAAUUGCAGUUGAAACUGGCAGUCUUGAGUACAGUAGAGGUGAGCGGAAUUCGUGGUGUAGCGGUGAAAUGCUUAGAUAUCACGAAGAACUCCGAUUGCGAAGGCAGUUCACUGGACUGCAACUGACACUGAGGCUCGAAAGUGUGGGUAUCAAACAGGAUUAGAUACCCUUGUAGUC
RNAcentral lists this ribosomal RNA (460 nucleotides) under uncultured bacterium. RNAcentral's name for it is "partial 16S ribosomal RNA". It matches the Rfam family "Bacterial small subunit ribosomal RNA", at positions 338 to 795 of the family's 1533-position model. The record is from RNAcentral.